Arachis stenosperma is the source of this 2735-nucleotide long non-coding RNA. RefSeq lists it as uncharacterized. The record is from RefSeq and is a predicted model, not a curated record. NCBI's taxonomy places the organism in Eukaryota, Viridiplantae, Streptophyta, Magnoliopsida, Fabales, Fabaceae. The transcript is spliced from 3 exons.
UACCCUAAUUUCACAAAUAAACACAAACACAGAAAGGAAAGAAAGGGAACAGGGGGAGCUCGAGGGGGGAAACGGAGAACAGGGAGAGAGUGUGAUGGAACAGAGUAAGAAGAGAGGAAGGAGGAUCGCUAUUGUCUCUGGUAGGUUGUCACUGACGUUGAACAGAACAGGGGAGAGGAGCGCGAAUUUGAAAGCGAAAAGGGAGCUCUGUUAUGGGCUCGUUGCCAGGAAAAGAAGAGGCGAUGUUGGUGGGGAUCGCCGCUGGUGUCGUCGCCGUGACUGGGGUUCGUGGUCGCUACUGCUGUUGGUGACGGACUAGGUCGCGUCCUAGCUGCCGGAGCCGCCAUCACCGUGGCUUUGUUACUUUGGGUCAACCAUGUCUCUGCCUUUGAUGUACCUUGUCGUGCCAUAUCCGUUGGAGCUGCCGUGGUUGGAGCUGGCUAUCAGAGAAAACAAUUUGCUGCCACCAUCUUUCAAUCUGGCCAGCAUCAUCCUCUUUGUUCCAGUCCCAAUGCCAAUUUUCUGUUUCUUAAACCUUUGUCAAUUUAUCUCCUGAGAAAUCACAAUUGGUGUUGAGGUCGUUGAUGCUGCUGCUGUUAUGCUGUAGCUAGCUGCAAGAGUUUUACUGCUGCGGGUUAGAAAUUGAUGGUUGCUGCAUCCCAAAAUUCUGUGGAUUUCGAUAAAUCGAGUGACACAGGUUUGAAGACGCAAUUUGAAGCUGCGAGCGAUUAGUAGGUUUUCUUUAUGAUUUUAAUUGCUUUCAUAGAAUCCCCUCGCUCUUGUCCUUUGAGGUUUUAUUUUAACAGAGGGGUAGGUGUUGUAGUUGGGUUUGUAUGACUUCUUAUGUAUAAGAGUUACUAUUAAUAAUACUUAUAUGAUUGUUAUUAUUAUUUGCAAUGGUUAUCCUUGAUACAUGUCUUUAAUGAAUAAAAACAAAAUUUUCCGGAAUUUUCUUAAAACUAAACUGCGAACUCGAUAUAAAGGCUCAGUAAUUAAGUAGUUAAUAUUAGAAAAGGUCACGUAACGUUCUUUCUAGUAGAAAUACCCUGACUUAAGCAAGGUAUUUUGCUGGAAGGGAUGUUACAAUAUGGUAUCAGAGCAGUCCUUCCUGUAGAGCCUUGGGAGUGGACUGACUAUGCUUCAUUGCAUACUCUGAGUGUCUGUCAUGCUUUCUAACUUGUUCUGAUGACAAGAUUUUAUGUUUUAUAUGCAUGACUGUCUAGUGAUUAACGCUAUUAGUUUACCAUUGCAUACCUCAUGGUAUCAAGUUUGGCCAACUUAAUACUAAUGAUUUAUGUAUAUGGAAAUACUAAUGGGUUAUCAUAGACGAAAUAGAAGUGAUAGGUUAACACGAAUUACGAGGUUUUGGGGACGUUAGAAACUAAAUUCUAGAAAUUAGUUCCGUUUCGACGUAUGCUCUCUAUUCGUGCUUAGUGUUAUCUCUUCUCUACUAUUUGUAUUGGAAUUUCUAGUUUCUGAUCUCUUUCUCGCUAAUCUUGUAUUAUCAUUUGUGCAUGUCCUUGCUUGACUCUGUAUCUGGUUGUUGUUUGAAUCUUUUGAAACAUUUAUCCUUACCUUACAAACUCUAAGCUUCUAGUUCUGAACUCGGAUUUAUUUCGGUGCAACAUACUAUUUCUUGUAAUUUUCUUCUUGAGCAUUUAUUUCAGAUUCUCUUCGAGAAAAAUUUCAAUUCAAAUCUUUCUUAUUUGACUGUAUCCACAACCCUUACUUAAAUUUUGAUGGGAUUGUUUUAAUUCAGCCUAGACUUUCUUACAUAAACUCUGAAGCUUCUUUAUGUAGUUUAAUUUUGUUUAAUUGUGAUAUACCACUUAUCUUUUAUUGAUUUAUAGAAAAAUUUAUUUCAGAAUAUAUUCCUUAAAUAGAAGCUGAUUUUCUUCCAACUUUAUUAUUCUUAUAGCUAUUCUUACCUAAUUACGUACUUAAGUAUCCUCCAAGAUUUUUAAAGAAAACAUUUUUGCCCUUAACAUCAAACAAGCUUUAGUUUACAAACCAUGCAUGAUUUGUUUUGAUUUGAAAUUAAAUCAGUAUAACAUAUUGUUUAUACUUAGUUUAGUACUUUGAAAAAAAAAUGUUAGAUUUAUAUAUAUUCUUUUGGAAAAAGACAAACUAAUUCCCUCUAUUUCAAAAUGAAGUUGUUCAAAAUUGUUGUACUAUUUUCCCUAAUGAUGUUCAUAUUGAAAUUGUUUGAUUUAAAAUUUCUUCCUAAGCUUCGAAUUAACUCCCUUUAUGCUACAUUUUGUUGCUUAUAUAUAUAUUCUUGUUGUUUGGUAAUCUCACGUAUUCCUUCAAAUCCUUGCGAAAUACCAUCUUUGUCCAACUGUGCACUUGAGUAUUCUUCCAAAUUCUCGCAUAAAACUUUCGUGCCGUUUGUCUUUCUCUUUUCAUAUUUCGUAUUCCUUAUAUGCGCUAGUUCUUAAGGUCGCGAUUUGUGCAUACGGAAAGUGAAUCUGGUUAGUCUAUGAAGUUAUAAGGAGUUAUGGAGUUUUGAGGCGACGAGAAGAAGUGAUCAUGCUUUGUUAAAAGCUGUGAACGAAUAUGUGCCUAUUUGAUUUUGGAUUUUAAAAAAUUUUCUUAUGUUUAAGUUAUUUUAUCAACUCUAGCAUUAUGUAGUAUAUUUUCUUCUAUGUUUAUGUGAUAUGAUUUUCUUGGAGCCUUUAAAAUAUUCAAAAGGGGAUGUGAAUAUAAAUUUUUUUCUUCAUUUUAUAUCAAUUUUC